This 2192-nucleotide unclassified non-coding RNA is filed under the name Hevea brasiliensis (rubber tree). Lineage: Eukaryota; Viridiplantae; Streptophyta; Magnoliopsida; Malpighiales; Euphorbiaceae. The record is from RNAcentral.
GGAGCCAGCUUUGAGUUUCAGAUUGACCCCCACUUUAAUAAUCCAUGGCCCAUGGGUUGUUCCUUUACAUAUUUCUCUCACGCACCAGCCCCUUCUAUAAUGGAUAUUACAGAAUAAUAUUCGUGAUUACCUAUAAAUGUAAUAAGAGAAUUUACCACUAAACUCCCACCUGCCAUGGUAGCUCCAUCCUACCACCCUUCUAUUCAACUCAAAACUUAAUCCAAAGUAUUAUUAUAAUUAUAUUAUUUUUAGUCUCAUCCUAAUUAUGAGGAAAUGUGAAAGUGAUUGUUAACUUGGACAAGGGUGUAUAAGGUCCUUUGCUUGAAGUGGAAGAAGUCACUGCAACGCCAGAAAUUAGCAGGCAGCCACCUUCACAGAUAUCUCCAUGAUUGCAUUGCUUUUAUCUCCAAUGAUCAUCGCUUCCUCGCAUAAGCCUCCUCCCCUACCACCAACCUAAUCUAUUCUCCCAAUUCACCAGAAAUUUCCUCCCAAUCUCCCCACUUUCCCCCCCCUUAUAACACUACUCUCUUUUGCCUACAACCAACCUCAAACGUACUCCAUGGCCACUUCUUGUCCUUUCUUGCUCUGUUUUUUGCUCUGUUUUCUGCAUCUCUCUCUUUCAAUCUCUGAGAUUUUUUUUCUCCCUCUUACUCAUUCCCUCUCCAAUAACCACUUCACCUCCACCCACCACCUCCUCAAAUCCACCUCCACCCGCUCCGCUGCCCGCUUCAAAAACCACCACCGUCGCCUCCAAAAACACCACCAUCGCCAAGUCUCUCUUCCUCUCUCUCCAGGUAGUGAUUACACCCUCUCCUUCACUCUUAGCUCCCACCCUCCUCAACGUGUCUCCCUUUAUCUCGAUACCGGCAGCGACCUUGUCUGGUUCCCUUGCCAGCCCUUCGAAUGCAUUCUAUGCGAAGGCAAAGCAGAAAACACCACCACUUCAGCUCUGCCUCCUAAACUUUCCUCCACAGCCAGAACAGUCCUCUGUAAAUCAUCUGCAUGUUCUUCUGCCCACUCCAACCUUCCCACUUCUAAUCUCUGCGCUAUUGCUAACUGUCCUUUGGAGUCCAUUGAAACUUCCGAUUGCCGAUCAUUUUCUUGCCCUCCAUUCUAUUAUGCAUACGGCGAUGGCAGUCUUAUUGCACGGCUUUACCGUGACUCUGUAACACUUCCAUUGGCAACUCCAUCUUUAGUACUCCAUAAUUUCACCUUCGGCUGCGCCCACACUGCUCUCGCUGAGCCAGUUGGGGUUGCUGGGUUCGGCCGCGGCGUACUUUCCUUGCCCGCUCAGCUCGCUUCCUUGUCUCCUCAACUUGGGAAUCAGUUCUCAUACUGUCUGGUGUCUCACUCGUUCGAUUCGGACCGAGUCCGCCUCCCGAGUCCACUCAUUCUUGGCCGUUCAGACGAAAAGGAGAAACGGGUAAAUAACAACGAUCAACCUCAAUUUGUUUACACUUCUAUGCUCGAUAACCCAAAACACCCUUAUUUUUACUGUGUUGGGCUCGAUGGAAUUUCUAUUGGCAAAAAGAAAAUUCCGGCACCGGCAUUUUUGAAAACUGUCAAUAGAGAGGGAAGCGGUGGGUUGGUAGUGGAUUCGGGAACCACUUUUACUAUGUUGCCGGCGAGUUUGUAUAACUCGGUAGUGACGGAGUUUGACAACCGAGUUGGGAGAGUCUAUGAGCGAGCCAAAGAAAUUGAGGACACGACCGGGCUCGGCCCGUGUUACUAUUAUGACAGUGUAGUGAAUGUCCCGAGUUUGGUCUUACAUUUUGUUGGGAAUGAAUCGAGUAUAGUGCUGCCUAGGAAGAACUAUUUUUAUGAAUUUGUGGACGGUGGAGAUGGCGUGAGGAGGAAGAGGAAGGUUGGUUGUAUGAUGCUGAUGAACGGCGGAGAUGAGGCGGAGCUGAGCGGUGGGCCCGGCGCAACCCUGGGGAACUACCAGCAGCAGGGGUUUGAGGUGGUUUAUGAUUUGGAGAAGGGAAGGGUUGGCUUUGCAAGAAGGAAAUGCGCAUCUUUGUGGGAAAGCUUAAACCAGGGCUAACGUGCGCUGGCGUUGACUGCCGGUUUGAAAGUUGAAAUCUAUGGGGUUUGACCGCACGUGAGGCCUAUGUAAGUAAACUAGGUUUGAUGGUAAUAGGGUGGGUUUAGGGUAAUAUUGUCUUGUGGAUAAGGGCUAUAAUGUUACUUUG